RNAcentral lists this ribosomal RNA (481 nucleotides) under uncultured organism. RNAcentral describes it as "bacterial SSU rRNA". It matches the Rfam family "Bacterial small subunit ribosomal RNA", at positions 28 to 507 of the family's 1533-position model. The record is from RNAcentral.
GAUGAACGCUGGCGGCGUGCCUAACACAUGCAAGUCGAGCGAGAUGUAUAUGGACGAAACUUCGGUCUAGGAAAUAUAUUGACAGCGGCGGACGGGUGAGUAACGCGUAGGCAACCUGCCCUUAACACAGGGAUAGCCUCGGGAAACCGGGAUUAAAACCUGAUAAUGCCAAAUAGUCACAUGGCUGUUUGGCCAAAGAUUUAUCGGUUAAGGAUGGGCCUGCGUCUGAUUAGUUUGUUGGUGGGGUAACGGCCUACCAAGACUACGAUCAGUAGCCGACCUGAGAGGGUGAUCGGCCACAUUGGAACUGAGACACGGUCCAAACUCCUACGGGAGGCAGCAGUGGGGAAUAUUGCACAAUGGGCGAAAGCCUGAUGCAGCAACGCCGCGUGAGCGAUGAAGGCCUUUGGGUCGUAAAGCUCUGUCCUUGGGGAAGAAAAAAAUGACGGUACCCAAGGAGGAAGCCCCGGCUAACUACGUG